GUAUUUUUGUCGAAAUUAAAUUUCAAAUGUUCGUCCCUCGAAUUAUAGUGUGUGUCCUCUACUUUAGGUUUCUUUCCCGAAUUCACAUAUCUUUUACGUGUUUCUUGAGCCUCUUCCUUGGCUUUUCUCUUCCUUUCCUCAACUUUCUCCCUCGUUUGUUUUGCUUCCUCCCUUUCCUUUACGUCGCCGACUCGAUAUGGCAAAACAUCCAUCGGAUCAAUGAAAUUUUUAUUAUUAACCUCUAUACACCUAAAUCUAUCUUCAGAGCAUUUAUGGUCCUUAACGAGAUGUUUCUUUAGUACCUGUAAUUUCCUUCUAGACAAAUCACAUAUCUGACAGGUAUACAAGGUCAACUUUUCUUUGUGUACACUAC
Molecule: long non-coding RNA, 373 nt
Filed under: Mytilus galloprovincialis (Mediterranean mussel)
Lineage: Eukaryota; Metazoa; Mollusca; Bivalvia; Mytilida; Mytilidae
Source: RNAcentral